Molecule: long non-coding RNA, 1107 nt
Filed under: Homo sapiens (human)
Lineage: Eukaryota; Metazoa; Chordata; Mammalia; Primates; Hominidae
Description: HSALNT0013457
Source: RNAcentral
GGAAGAUGCCAGAAAAAGGGAGCUUCAGGGAAGGAACUUGGAGCUAAUCAGCCUCGGGAAUGCCACCAUCUGAGAUGCCAGGGCAAAAACAAAGAAAUGCCAUCGAUUAAGAGUCUCCAUCAAGAAAGUUCCAAGGCUGCGAGGCUGCUGAGAUGAGAUGGGACUGGAAUCCUAGCCACAGGCUUAAUUGCUUUGCAAGAAGCCACAGCUGUUGCUGCAGGGAAGCGCAGGCAAAAUCUUGUUUUCUUACUUUCAACUUUCUGCUGACCUUGUUAGAGAUUGCUUCUGAACUGCCUGAUGCCCAUGCCUAUCUCGAAUGGUAUUUCUUCAGUGUCUCGUGUCUUCUCUUUGCUUUUCCUUCUAUGCCCAGCACUUAAUGUAGUGCCCGAAAUGUAAUACUCACUUGAGAAAUACCUGUUUGAUUAAUUAAGCACAAGAAGAAGAGUUUUAAUACCAAAUGACAGUUCCCUGUCACCCAAGAGCAGUACCCCUUUACUUUUUGAACCAAGAUUCCUCUUAGUCCUUUCACUAGAAUAUAGGAACAUGAAGAAAGGAGAAAUAGCAUAAAAAACAUUGGAAUUUUCUUCAGUCUAUGACUGUGUCUGCAUCAAAAUUUUCCACCCAUAUUCCAUGACCAAAUCAACUGUUUUUGAGACUUCUUUCUUUUCCUCUUGUAAAUGACAAGCAAUCCUUGAAUAACAAAUGACUUAUCCCACAUUUGUAAACUCUCUGGCCUUUGAAAUAGCUAAAAUGACCUAAGGCCUAACAGAAGAGUGGCAUGUAUGGACUUUACCAGAAGUUGGACCCAUGGGGUAAGAUCUAGAGAGUUAUUGGCUUAAGUGGUGUUAAGCAGCCUAUGAUUGGAAAAUGAAAUGAAAUAGAAUCCCCUCAUAGAAUCAAGAAUAGACAGGCCUCAUCCUAAAAUAAACAGGCCAAAGAAGCAUGGGUGGCAAUGGCCUAAUCCUCAAACCUGUUCUUCCCCCUUUAUUUCACUUAGGUUUCCAAACAUUUGUUUCUGCCUUCUAUCUGUAGCCUUAGAUCCAAACAUGUUUUAAGACUCUCUACUCUUAACAUUAAGCAAUCUGCUGAACUCCUUGUAAAACUCAG